Non-coding RNA from Equus caballus (horse), 777 nucleotides. The record is from RefSeq and is a predicted model, not a curated record. Lineage: Eukaryota; Metazoa; Chordata; Mammalia; Perissodactyla; Equidae.
GCCCUUCAUCUCGGUGCUGCAGUCCCCCGGCCUCCCUCGCUGGAGGUGGUUCCGUGCGGAGCGUCCCACAGAUGUGGAUUUCCUCUCCGUCCUGGUGGGGUUCGGCGCCUAACUGGAACCAUGUGCCUCGGUGUUUUUCCCUGUGCCCUCGAAUUCUGCUUUUUCGGCCGAAGGAAAGGAGCGGAGAGGAUGAUGCUGCAUUUUUAAUAUACCACAAAGCGUGCAAGGGAUUUCCCUGCAAAGCCUUCCACGCUGCCCUUCCCCAGACUGGUGGGCUGCAGCCGAGGGCUUCCAGAGACGACGCACUGGUGAAACAGACAUUUUGGAACAGCCGUCACAUAGUUUUUGCCUGAAUAGAGAGGGCCAGAUGCGUAGAGGAAACACGCUGGAGUCACUGGAUGUGUAAGACAGUCAGUCACCUAUAAGAAAGAAAACUCCCGCCAAGUGUGAUUUCUCCCUCAGUCUGAAGAUCCUUCCUCAAUAAAUUCAAUGGAAUUAGAGAAGAAUAAAGAUACCAAUAGAUAAUUGACUAAAUAAUCUAUGAAACAUCCCUAAGAUGAACUACUUGACAUAAAUACAAAUCAUCUCAUAGAUUUAUAAGGACAUGGAAAUACAUUCACUAAAUGGCAACACAUCCAGGAGAAACAAGAUCCUGAGGAAGAAGGAGCUGCCUCUCUCUGCGUGUCUCUUCUAAGAGUGAAGAAGCCUUUCCCAGAAGACCCCCGGAAGAUUUCUUCUGAAGUCUCAUUUCCCAUGCCCAUGUCUAAAUCAAUCACU